CGGGGCUCAAUGCCUUGUAAUUGGAAUGAUGGGAAUCUAAACCCCUUCCAGAGUAUCAAUUGGAGGGCAAGUCUGGUGCCAGCAGCCGCGGUAAUUCCAGCUCCAAUAGCGUAUAUUAAAAUUGUUGCAGUUAAAAAGCUCGUAGUUGAAUUUCUGCUGCAUCGACGAUACCCACACGGGACCGACGUUGCGGCUUAUUUCGGACUUGCGUGCAUCUCCGAAUGUUUACUUUGAGAAAAUUAGAGUGCUCAAAGCAGGCCCUUGCCUUGAAUACUUUAGCAUGGAAUAAUAAAGUAGGACUUUGGUUCUAUUUUGUUGGUUUAGCACCAAAGUAAUGGUUAAUAGGAACAGUUGGGGGCAUUCGUAUUUAACUGUCAGAGGUGAAAUUCUUAGAUUUGUUAAAGACGAACCACUGCGAAAGCAUUUGCCAAGGAUGUUUUCAUUAAUCAAGAAC
This 454-nucleotide ribosomal RNA is filed under the name Theileria mutans. Its description in RNAcentral is "SSU rRNA". It matches the Rfam family "Eukaryotic small subunit ribosomal RNA", at positions 486 to 984 of the family's 1831-position model. The record is from RNAcentral. Lineage: Eukaryota; Apicomplexa; Aconoidasida; Piroplasmida; Theileriidae.